GGAGAGGUGGCCGAGCGGCUUAAGGCAACGGUUUGCUAAACCGUCGUAGCGGGUAAACCGCUACCCCGGGUUCGAAUCCCGGCCUCUCCG
This 90-nucleotide transfer RNA is filed under the name Planctomycetes bacterium RBG_13_62_9. RNAcentral's name for it is "tRNA-Ser". It matches the Rfam family "tRNA". Rfam says of the family: Transfer RNA (tRNA) molecules are approximately 80 nucleotides in length. Their secondary structure includes four short double-helical elements and three loops (D, anti-codon, and T loops). The record is from RNAcentral. Lineage: Bacteria; Pseudomonadati; Planctomycetota.